This is a long non-coding RNA of Panicum virgatum (switchgrass), 1909 nucleotides long. RefSeq lists it as uncharacterized. The record is from RefSeq and is a predicted model, not a curated record. The transcript has 2 exons. Lineage: Eukaryota; Viridiplantae; Streptophyta; Magnoliopsida; Poales; Poaceae.
AACAUCGCCGUAUCUGAAAAAUACCAUUAAACCCCCUAAGCUGUCUUUGCUAAUGGAUGGGUGCCAGAUAACUAUAUUGUUAGAAAUUGAUCUAAGCUGUUAGGAAUCGGUAACUAUUUUUUGUUGAUUACUGAAGAAUCAUUCUACACAUUCUGUUGCAGCGAUGUGUAGCUGACCACCUGCAGAUGAAUACAAGUGAUGAUGCAUGAUUAUCAAUGCUGGUGUUCCUACUCGCUGCUCCGAUGAAAUGAAGCUGUCAUUCAGAUUGGUGAGUAAAAACGUCAUUAGAACUUUCUGCUUGACUGCUGGUUCGCCCUGUUCACCGGUUUAGCAAAACCGAAUACCAGCCCGUGCCCAACCCAGAUGGACCCGUCCACCCGGUUUCUAGCGUGGGUUGGAGCCGGACCAGUGUGACCAUACGAUGGAAGCGGCAGACUGGUUUGGUUUCCGGUCGGACCCAUCAAAACCACAACACAACAAUAUAUCCAAAGGAAAAACAAGGCGGCUGCGCUUCGGCGGCCAACUGCGGGGGCGGACGGCGGCUGCGGCGGACCGCGGCGGCUGCGGCGGACCGCGGCGGCUGCUGCGCGUCUGCGCCGGACGGCGGCGACGCCCGGCGGCCGGGACGAAAAUGCCGCGCAACGGUCUCGCUCGAGGCCUCGAGGUGGAGGCUGCGCUCGCGGUCGAGGCAGCGUGGGAAUUGAAGGUGGCUGUUGCAUCUAUGGUUCUGUCUCCUUAGACAUGGAUGUGGACUCGCCACCGCAUCUUCCCAUAGAGACCUCUGCUAACAAGGUCCAUUACUCUUUUCAUAUAUGUUCCUUGUGUCAUGGAUUGUUUUCAGCUAUGAACCCUAGCUCAGAUUGAGAUUAGAUUUAGUUUGCAAAGAAAGAAAUGGGUGCAAGAUUCAAUCCAUUCUUUAUUUGUGAUGAUGAAAUCCCACAUCAGUCCAUUUGUUGUUGUAUCCAACAAUUUCUCAGCUACGAGUCCUGAAAUGCAUGCUAAAAUGGACUUGCGUCCUUACUGAACAUAUUGUAUGUGUUGUCUGAAAAAGACAGGUCAGUAUCCAAUUGUUCAGAUUGCAACGAAGUCUUGACAGCAAAUAAGAUAUAUGUGUGUUAUCAGAUUCACUUGUCAAGUAGUCGGGUAUUGUACUGACAAUACUUGCAGCUGGCAAUAAUGCUGGUAAUAGUUAUUUCAAGUUAUACUGGAUAGCAGCUUGGUAGCUUUGUUUGCCGUCAAUUAUGUUUAAAACAAACUUAUGUAACUUGCCUUUUUUUGUUUCAAAUUUCACUGAGUUUGAAGGAUAGCAAUUUCUAACAAGGAAAAAUUGCUGCAAUUUGUGUUUUGUUACAAUGAGUAGCUUGUGUUCUAUCUUGGUGCUUAAUCGACGUGGUUUAUUCAUGAUCUUGUCUGCUCAGUUUUGUUCCGGAUGUCAAUUUGGCAAGGCUAGUGCAAUUAAGAUAGGUCUACAGAUCAGAGUUUGUGCAUGAGUGUUGCAGGUCUCAACAUGGAGACUGAAAAAUUAAUAAGUAAAAGUUCACAUGACCGCGUUGGCUCCAGAACAAUGAAUUCUUCCUCCCUCAUGAAUGAAUCUUGCUUUUGUGCUUGUGAUGGCAGAUUCAUGGAUGGGAAUAGAUCACCUGUAGGUUGCUUGAUGCAAGCCAGUUUGUUUGGCUUCACAUUUCCUUCGGUUGAUCUCUAUAUCUUGGGCUAGUAGCUGCUAUUGGACUAGCACUCUGAUCACAAUGCAGCUCCUUGUUGUAAUGUAUGGUUUCCAGGUAUAGUCAGGUGUUUGUCUUUUGAAUCCUGUGGCUGUGCACAGUUACAUGCCCGGCACGUGUUGCUACUUGAAAUGCUACUAUGUAUUCCAUUUGGGCAGGAAAUGUUUCACUUUCUGAAACUUAUGUAA